ACCAAAUUUUAAUUACAUGUAUGAAAUAUUUUAUGUGCAAUAAAUAAAAUGUACAUGUUCAGACGAUUUGGAAAAAUAAUAUGAAAAUAAUUAAUUUAUAAAAUUAUUUCAAAUGUUAUAUUUGUUAUAAUUACCAUAUUAUAAAUUAAUAUAAUUUUCAUCGCUUAUCACCUUAGCAUGCAUUUAUUGUUUAUUCCUUUAUAAAUAUAUAAUAAAUAUUUUAUGCAAUUUAUGUUUUUCUACAUAUUUCCUUGUAUAUCUAUUUAUUAUAUUAUUUAUGACUGAAUAGAUAAGACGGCAACAUUUAUGACCAUGAUUAUUAAAUGCAUUGAGUCAUAAAAGCGGAACAAAA
This 352-nucleotide small RNA is filed under the name Plasmodium billcollinsi. RNAcentral describes it as "Plasmodium sp. DRC-Itaito nucleolar RNA snoR36". The record is from RNAcentral. Lineage: Eukaryota; Apicomplexa; Aconoidasida; Haemosporida; Plasmodiidae.